This is a long non-coding RNA of Esox lucius (northern pike), 697 nucleotides long. The record is from Ensembl. Lineage: Eukaryota; Metazoa; Chordata; Actinopteri; Esociformes; Esocidae.
GCCUUGCUUCGGCUUGCCGCGGCUGCCAGGGUUGGAGGCAAAGCUGCCGUCGAGGAUUCAUUGAACGUAAUGGAGGAGGCAGCGGUUGCCGGUUCCGGUGUUUAAAGCCCCUUUUACGUGCACGGCGGUAGGGAUUAUUGCGUGCUAGUGUUCUUAAUGACACCACAAUGCAGUUCCAGGCCAAAUACAGUUAAUUUAAAAGAUAAUUCAGUUUCUAAGCGAAACAGCGAUUUGACAAGUGCGAUUUUGACUGAACUCAAGGCAACACACCACUUACAGCUGAAGAAAGAGGAGAAGAAAAUCUAGUCCAGGGCAGAGGAGGCUUAUACAACUACCCUCACCCAGAGAGAUUGCAGUAUAAAAACAAUGCAGAAGGAGAUCAGCAAGCUGAUGAUGGAAAAACAGCUUGCACAGGUAAGACAUUGUCAUUAUUUUGGGAGUGUUUUCAAUGGUUGACAUCUAAAUUUGAAAUUGGGGGGGGAAAAGCUUUAAAUUUGAAGUAUUAAAAUACAAGUUGACUCUAGCCUGCUGUACUAAUCCAAUAUAACACUGUAUUUUAAAAGAUUACAGAUGUCAUUUAUUUGUCAUUGACUUGAACAGAAAGUCCAACCUUUGUUUGAACUACUUACUGAAAGUCAGCUACUGUACCAACUACUGUCAGAUUCCCACACAUGCCCUACAAAUUCACAACAGUGCC